CUUCCUACGGGAGGCAGCAGUAGGGAAUCUUCCACAAUGGGCGCAAGCCUGACCCAGCAACGCCGCGUGAAGGAAGAAGGCUUUCGGGUUGUAAACUUCUUUUGUCAGGGACGAAGCAAGUGACGGUACCUGACGAAUAAGCCACGGCUAACUACGUGCCAGCAGCCGCGGUAAUACGUAGGGGGCGAGCGUUAUCCGGAUUUACUGGGUGUAAAGGGAGCGUAGACGGUUCUGCAAGUCUGAAGUGAAAGCCCGUGGCUUAACCGCGGAACGGCUUUGGAAACUGUGGAACUGGAGUGCUGGAG
Molecule: ribosomal RNA, 305 nt
Filed under: uncultured bacterium
Lineage: Bacteria
Description: bacterial SSU rRNA
Rfam family: Bacterial small subunit ribosomal RNA
Source: RNAcentral